RNAcentral lists this ribosomal RNA (497 nucleotides) under uncultured bacterium. RNAcentral's name for it is "partial 16S ribosomal RNA". It matches the Rfam family "Bacterial small subunit ribosomal RNA", at positions 28 to 507 of the family's 1533-position model. The record is from RNAcentral.
GACGAACGCUGGCGGCGUGCUUAACACAUGCAAGUCGAGCGCUGAAGGCUGGUCUUUGUCUCCACUGGCUGUGCCGCGCACGUGUGUGUCACAUGUGGAAUCUCUGCCUUUGUCCGGGGUACAACCUUUGGAAACCGUCUCUUACACCGUAUAAAAUCCUUAAACAUCUUCUUCAACUUUGAAAGAUUCAAUUGCGUCAUUCGAUCAUGGCCUCGCGUUGUAUUAGUUAGUUGGUGAGUCAAAGGCUCACCAAGGCGAUGAUACAUAGCCGAACUGAGAGGGUGAUCGGCCACCUUGGGACUGAGACACGGCCCAAACUCCUAGGGGAGGCAGCAGUAGGGCAUCGUCGGGAAUGGACGAAAGUCUGACCGAGAAACGCCGAGUGAGUGAAGAAGAUUGUCGGGUCGGAAAACUCUGUUGGUAGGGAAGAACGUUGGUGAGAGUGGAAAGCUCAUAAAGUGACGGUAACUACCCAGAAAGCGACGGCUAACUACGUG